AGUGGACCAACUGUCAUCAAUAUCUACUACUAGGACUCAUUUAGACCCAUGUUUAUGUAUCAAUCAAACUUCAGGAGCCUCACUGCGAGCAAUAAUAUCAUCUCAAAUCAAAAGAUCAGUCACACAACUAUAGCAUCAUGACAAUCACUGAUGUUUGAAUAAAAAUUCAAGUGAUCUCUCAUAUGGUAACUCUUAGUGCUAGUUGUUCUUUAACAACCACCCACACUCAUCGUCCUGUGUCUCUAC
Molecule: long non-coding RNA, 246 nt
Filed under: Elaeis guineensis (African oil palm)
Lineage: Eukaryota; Viridiplantae; Streptophyta; Magnoliopsida; Arecales; Arecaceae
Description: long non-coding RNA (EGUI_LNC055614)
Source: RNAcentral